CCUACGGGUGGCAGCAGUGGGGAAUAUUGCACAAUGGGGGAAACCCUGAUGCAGCGACGCCGCGUGAGUGAAGAAGUAUUUCGGUAUGUAAAGCUCUAUCAGCAGGGAAGAAAAUGACGGUACCUGAUUAAGAAGCCCCGGCUAACUACGUGCCAGCAGCCGCGGUAAUACGUAGGGGGCAAGCGUUAUCCGUUUUUACGGGUUGGAACGGGAGCGUAGACGGCAGCACAAGUCUGAAGUGAAAUGCCGGGGCUUAACCCCGGAACGGCUUUGGAAACUGUGCAGCUAGAGUGCAGGAGAGGAAAGUGGAAGUCCAAGUGUAGCGGUGAAAUGCGUAGAGAUUAGGAGGAACACCAGUGGCGAAGGCGGCUUACUGGACUGUAACUGACGUUGAGGCUCGAAAGCGUGGGGAUCAAACAGGAUUAGAUACCCUUGUAGUC
This 440-nucleotide ribosomal RNA is filed under the name uncultured bacterium. RNAcentral describes it as "partial 16S ribosomal RNA". It matches the Rfam family "Bacterial small subunit ribosomal RNA", at positions 338 to 795 of the family's 1533-position model. The record is from RNAcentral.